AGAGGCGCCGCGGGAGGGGGUGCUCUCGGGCGAGCUCUCCAGCCGCGGCCUCCGCCCCUGCGCUGUCGGGCGGGGAGGUCGGAAACCCCCUGGCGAGACCACGGGCGGACGCUUCCCGAAGAGCUGCCUGGGCUGCAGCCGCGGAAGCUGCGUUCUGGGGAGCGGGGAGCGUGCUCCGGCGCCCUCGGGCCGCUGCUGGAAGCCGGAACCGAGCCCGGGCCGCUGCCCCUUACCGGACGCCGCGCGCGCCACCGGCUCUCGGCGGGGCAGGGGCUGCUGCGAGCUCGCCGGGCGCCCUUUAGACAGUUGUCCUUGUCUACUCCACUACCAAAUGUUGAAGUUCUUCAAGAAUCAGUCCUUUGGAGGCAUUUAAGGAAAUCUGUUUCUCUGUUGAAUCACUAGCUGCGAAUUAAGCUAACAGAACAGAAGCCCAACUGGUCACACACAGCAACGAAUACAGACUUUAUAAACUUCAGAAAAGUUACCAAACAGUGGUAACCAUAACAAGUACCAACAAUGAACUAUGGGGAGAGAGGAGAAUCUGAUUUCCAGAGUUACCACAUUAUAAUACUAUUCAAAAUGUCACAUUUUUAUGAAAGAUUACAAACAAGGAAAAACCAGAAAAGUGUGGCCCAUACACAGGUAAAAAAAGAAAUUAAUAGAAACUAUCCCUGAAGAAGCACAGACUUUGGAUGUACAAAACAAAGACUCUUCAUCAACUCUUUUAGAUAUGCUAGAAGAGCUGAAGGAAACCAUGGACAGAGAACAAAAAAAUUAGGAAAGCAAUGUCUCAUCAAAUACAGAAUAUCAAUAAAGAGAUUGAAAUUGUAGAAAAGAACCAAAUAGAAAUUCUGGAGUUGAAAAGUAUUAUAACUAAAACUGAAAAUUCACUAGAGGUAUUCAGCAGCAGACUGGAGAAGUCAGAAGAAAGAAUCAACAGGCUUCAAGAUAGGUCAAUUAAGAUUAUGCAGUCUGAGGAGCAGAAAGCAAAAAGAAUGAAGAAAAAUGAACAGAACAUAAAAGACCUCUGGGACUCUAUCAAGCAUACCAGUAUAUGCAUAAGGGGAGUCCCAGAAGAAGAAAGAGAGAAAGGGACAUAAUAUUUGAAGAAAUAAUGGUAGAAAAUGUCCCAGCUUUGGUGAAAUACAUGAAUCUAGAUAUUCAAGAGGCUCAAAGAACCCUAAAUAGGGUAAACUCAAAA
RNAcentral lists this non-coding RNA (1201 nucleotides) under Pongo abelii (Sumatran orangutan). The record is from RNAcentral. Lineage: Eukaryota; Metazoa; Chordata; Mammalia; Primates; Hominidae.